UUGCUAUCUUUAUGGAGAGCGGCGAACGGGUGAGUAACGCGUGGGAAAUCUGCCGAGUAGCGGGGGACAACGUUUGGAAACGAACGCUAAUACCGCAUAACAAUGAGGAUCGCAUGAUUCUUAUUUAAAAGAAGCAAUUGCUUCACUACUUGAUGAUCCCGCGUUGUAUUAGCUAGUUGGUAGUGUAAAGGACUACCAAGGCGAUGAUACAUAGCCGACCUGAGAGGGUGAUCGGCCACACUGGGACUGAGACACGGCCCAGACUCC
RNAcentral lists this ribosomal RNA (267 nucleotides) under uncultured Lactococcus sp. RNAcentral's name for it is "partial 16S ribosomal RNA". It matches the Rfam family "Bacterial small subunit ribosomal RNA", at positions 78 to 339 of the family's 1533-position model. Lineage: Bacteria; Bacillati; Bacillota; Bacilli; Lactobacillales; Streptococcaceae. The record is from RNAcentral.